UGAGGAAUAUUGGUCAAUGGUCGGGGAGACUGAACCAGCCAAGCCGCGUGAGGGAUGAAGGUGCUAAGCAUUGUAAACCUCUUUUGUCAGGGAACAAAAGGCAUCCACGAGUGGAUGUGUGAGUGUACCUGAAGAAAAAGCAUCGGCUAACUCCGUGCC
Molecule: ribosomal RNA, 159 nt
Filed under: uncultured bacterium
Lineage: Bacteria
Description: partial 16S ribosomal RNA
Rfam family: Bacterial small subunit ribosomal RNA
Source: RNAcentral